RNAcentral lists this ribosomal RNA (253 nucleotides) under uncultured bacterium. Its description in RNAcentral is "partial 16S ribosomal RNA". It matches the Rfam family "Bacterial small subunit ribosomal RNA", at positions 524 to 776 of the family's 1533-position model. The record is from RNAcentral.
UACGGGGGGGGCAAGCGUUGUUCGGAAUUACUGGGCGUAAAGGGCUUGUAGGUGGCCAACUAAGUCAGACGUGAAAUCCCUCAGCUUAACUGGGGAACUGCGUCUGAUACUGGAUGGCUUGAGUUUGGGAGAGGGAUGCGGAAUUCCAGGUGUAGCGGUGAAAUGCGUAGAUAUCUGGAGGAACACCGGUGGCGAAGGCGGCAUCCUGGACCAACACUGACACUGAGGAGCGAAAGCCAGGGGAGCGAACGGG